AGAGUGAACGCUGGCGGUAGGCCUAACACAUGCAAGUCGAACGGCAGCACAGUGGUAGCAAUACCAUGGGUGGCGAGUGGCGGACGGGUGAGGAAUACAUCGGAAUCUACCUUUUCGUGGGGGAUAACGUAGGGAAACUUACGCUAAUACCGCAUACGCCCUUCGGGGGAAAGCCGGGGAUCGCAAGACCUGGCGCGGAUAGAUGAGCCGAUGUCGGAUUAGCUAGUUGGUGAGGUAAUGGCGCACCAAGGCGACGAUCCGUAGCUGGUCUGAGAGGAUGAUCAGCCACACUGGAACUGAGACACGGUCCAGACUCCGUACGGGAGCAGCAGGUGGGGAAUAUUGGACAAGUGGGC
This 356-nucleotide ribosomal RNA is filed under the name uncultured soil bacterium. RNAcentral's name for it is "bacterial SSU rRNA". It matches the Rfam family "Bacterial small subunit ribosomal RNA", at positions 26 to 377 of the family's 1533-position model. The record is from RNAcentral.